Small nucleolar RNA from Labeo rohita (rohu), 212 nucleotides. RefSeq annotates it as small nucleolar RNA U3. The transcript has a single exon. The record is from RefSeq and is a predicted model, not a curated record. Lineage: Eukaryota; Metazoa; Chordata; Actinopteri; Cypriniformes; Cyprinidae.
AAGACUAUAUUUUCAGGGAUCAUUUCUAUAGUUUUUUACUUGGAAAUGUGUUUUGAAAGUGUUUGUCUCCCAACCCGCGAUGAUGAGCUGUGGUGCUCCUUUCUGAGAGCGAAUCAAAGACAGAGUGGCGGUCUACGUCGCACUCUGUUGUUGAUGAGCGUUUUGUAUUGCGUUUGGCAAUAUAGGGCGAAAGAGUAUAUGAUCUGAGUGGU